Molecule: microRNA precursor, 64 nt
Filed under: Myotis lucifugus (little brown bat)
Lineage: Eukaryota; Metazoa; Chordata; Mammalia; Chiroptera; Vespertilionidae
Description: mir-9242 microRNA precursor family
Rfam family: mir-9242 microRNA precursor family
Source: Rfam by way of RNAcentral
GGCCUCCCUCUGUGGGGCAAUCGAUCAUGGGCCCUCCAGAUCGAUCACCCCGCAGAAGGAGGCC